GCAUUGGUGGUUCAGUGGUAGAAUUCUUGCCUUCCAUGUUGGAGACCUGGGUUCAAUUCCUAGCCAAUGCA
Loxodonta africana (African savanna elephant) is the source of this 71-nucleotide transfer RNA. It matches the Rfam family "tRNA". Rfam says of the family: Transfer RNA (tRNA) molecules are approximately 80 nucleotides in length. Their secondary structure includes four short double-helical elements and three loops (D, anti-codon, and T loops). The record is from Rfam. Lineage: Eukaryota; Metazoa; Chordata; Mammalia; Proboscidea; Elephantidae.